UUGGGGAGAAGGUUCUUCAGUCUACUGGAGCCUUCUUUGACUGAGCACAUGGGAAAUUAUGGCCUUCUGGACUGAUCCUAUAUCGACGACCCUUUUCCAAUGGAUGUGGGAGUUUGAAAGCCCAGCUCCCUGGACUCAGGUGUUACUGUUCAAAUUCCCAUCUUAUGGAUGAUGAAUCAGAAACACAAAAAGGUGACAAGUAACAAGGACUUGCUGAGUGUUGUUAUUGACAAAUGGAUGAACUCCGUGUGCUGCUGCUGGCUUCCUACCCUGAACUCAAAUCUGAAGAUGCUAUGGGUUGGGGGUUGCCUCCAACACCAGAAGUAGGCUGCAGGACCAGUGUAUGAUGUGUUAUUUAUGGCUGAAGCCUUGAAGACCAUUGAGAAGACCUCUGCCUCCAGUGCAGCACAGGGGACUCUACUCAAUGCUCUGUGGUGACCUAAAUGGGAAGGAAAUCCGAAACUACGCCGAUUCUUAAG
Molecule: non-coding RNA, 479 nt
Organism: Delphinapterus leucas (beluga whale)
Lineage: Eukaryota; Metazoa; Chordata; Mammalia; Artiodactyla; Monodontidae
Source: RefSeq, a predicted model, not a curated record